Gorilla gorilla gorilla (western lowland gorilla) is the source of this 584-nucleotide long non-coding RNA. RefSeq lists it as uncharacterized. The record is from RefSeq and is a predicted model, not a curated record. The transcript has 2 exons. NCBI's taxonomy places the organism in Eukaryota, Metazoa, Chordata, Mammalia, Primates, Hominidae.
ACAGUCUCCCAAACAUCAAUGCUGUCGUUACAACCCCAUCACCUACCCUUACCCUUACCACACCAAAGAGUUACUCUUUUUUGAAAUCUGAAUCUCAGAUUUUCACUUUCCAGGCAAUUCACCAGGACAGAGGCCUUUCAACUUUCCUCCCUGAGAUCUUCCUCCGUGAACCAACAACAAAAGGACCAGCCACCUCACUGGUCCCCUGUUGCCAGUAGAAAAAGCCCUACAAGGAUUAAUGCAAGAAGAAGUUCUGCUUUAGGGUUCUAUGAGGCUGAAAAUAUUGGAUCAGUAUUCCUGAGGAAUCUGCGUUUCAGAAUCCCAGGUCCUGAAGGACAAGAAGUACUUUGCAAACAAAUCAAAUGUACGUUUAUGAAGAUGAAAUCAUGCAACAGAAAGAUUUUUCAGAAUUUUUCAGCAACAGAUUUUACACACAAUUCAGAAGGAAGAAAGAACAGAUGAGUUUGGGAAUCAGGAGACCAGAUGUCAAGACUGGACUACAUCUUUAUAUUCAUUUCCAGAUUUAAAGUUCUAUGUUGUAUUUUAUUUGAUGCAAAGCAAUAAAAUAUUCCUCCCUCCUGUGA